CUGAUACCCCCACCCUCAUCUACCUGACAGAUGAACAGUUCCUGCUGCAGCGACUGGCAGAUGGAGCCAUUGACCUCUACGCCAUGGUGGUGGUUCUCUCCAGAGCCUCAAGAUCCCUGAGUGAGGGCUACCCGACAGCACAGCAUGAGAAAAUGCUCUGUGAUAGUUGGUGCAUUGAGGCUGCAACACGGAUUCGAGAAAACAUGGCCAGCCUUCAGUCCAACCCUCAGCAGCAGGAGCUCUUUCGUAACUUCAGAAGUAUCUCCAAGGCCAUGGUGGAGAAUGGUGGCCUGGUCACCAGUAACCCCCUUAGAGUCUGAAGACUCCUAAUCAGGCCCUAGCACAGUCGUGUGCCUUCUUCUAUGCCAAACACAGGCCCCCUUCAUGGGGGCACUGGAGUACUUACUGCCUUAAGAACAAUAAAUUUUCUACCAAGUCCCUCCUCUCCACUGCCUGCCUCCCAAAGAAAGGACCCAGAGGCUUGGGGAGUUGCCUCUAUUUGCUUUAUUUGGUGUUUUAUACAAGUGACUAAAAUAAAUAGAGUAACAAAGGCAGCUACACAGUCCCCAACACACCAUCAGCCUCCUUGGACUGCUGUCUAGGGUACCCAGCCCAACCCUUCCUCUUCCCAGGGUACCACUGACCACCACCCACCCUGGCCAUGAAGCUGACUAACAACUGGAGGUGGUGGUCAUAUUCUGGGCUUAGAAGGGACCUAGGAAAGUGUAUAUGAAGGGACUCUCCAUAUAAAAGAAGAACUGUCUAUUUAAAAAAAUACUCCCCCAAAUAUAAGAAAGUCUAUUUUAACCCCCCAAAAAGCUUAUAAAAAAUAAAGCUAAAAAUAACCAAAGGUCCCCAUCUACCCCUGAGGAAGGGGAAGGACCAGGCACUGCUGGUGAGAGUCACAGUGGCAAAAAACGUUUUGGUAGGCACCAGCCACCAGGCUGAGCCCAGGCACUAAGAAGAGCACCAAGUUGAAACUUACCAGGCCAAGGGCACAGACCCAAUGUGGCCUCAAGAUGGGUCCUACAUAACAUCUACAAAAAACUCACUGGGGUUGCCCAUGGCCAUGUGGAAGCUCUGACGGCUAGCUGUCAGUUCUGGGGGCACAGAGCCCAGGUCUCUGACUGGAGGGGCACCAGGGGGCUGUACUGCUGUCGAGACAGGGGGUGGGGGUGGAGGCAUCAUGACUACCAUCAUGGGGUUAUAGGGGAGAGCCAUGCCAGGUG
RNAcentral lists this long non-coding RNA (1229 nucleotides) under Rattus norvegicus (Norway rat). RNAcentral's name for it is "long non-coding RNA NONRATT005607". Lineage: Eukaryota; Metazoa; Chordata; Mammalia; Rodentia; Muridae. The record is from RNAcentral.